Molecule: long non-coding RNA, 1263 nt
Filed under: Marmota monax (woodchuck)
Lineage: Eukaryota; Metazoa; Chordata; Mammalia; Rodentia; Sciuridae
Source: RNAcentral
CUGGGUGUUUGGUAUCUAACAGCAUUAACUGCCCUUAGGUAAGGUCCUUGGCCUUUUUUGAGUCUUAAUUUCCUCAUUGUUAGUACAGGGAAAGUAGCACAUACCUCCUAUAGCUAUAGUCCUGACCCUUGACCAGAAAUAAAGCGUUAAAAAUAGCUGGUACUCAGUAGUUGCUCAUCAACAUUAGCAAAGAUGCCAAAAUAAAGUAGAAAGAAUAUAAGCUCUGAUUCUCAGUUCAUAUAACUCCUUGUGAGUUAUAUGGCCUCAGGCAGGUUGCUCACCUCUUUUAAGCCUCAACUUUCUUGUCUUUAAAAAUCUUCAACACUGGUACAGGAGGGUUGUAAUAAGGGUUUGGUGUUAAUAGUAAUGCAUGGAAAAGAUCAGAUGCUGCAUCAGUUGUACCUGUUAUUAUUGUCUCUGUACGAGGAAUCAUCUAGACCUAAAAUCUUUUGGCAUCUCCGAUGGCUGUUAUAUGCAGUUUCUGAAGAGAAUUGAAUUAGCAACACGGAUAGCCCUGGUGGAAAAGACUACACAGAAAAGUGAAAAGAAAAGAAAAUAGAGAAAGCUUUGAGAGAUUAAAAGUGGGAACAUUUCCCAACUUUAUGAGGCUAGCGUUGCCCUGAUAUCAAAACCAAAGACAUCACAAGACAACCAUGUACCAAAAGGUCCUGUGUCAUGAACAUGGAUGCAAAAAUUCUCAACAAAAUAUUAGUCACUCCAAUUAAGCAAAAUAUGGAGAAGAUGAUACCACAUGACCAAGUAGGCAUUAUCUUGGGGGGGGGGAAUACAAAGUUUAUUAAUGUUCAAAAAUCAAUCACUGGAAUUCAUUACAUCAACCGACUAAAGGAAAUAAACCCAUAUGAUCAUCUGAAUAGAUUGCAGAAAAAUUAUUUGAAGGAACUAAACACCAUUCAUGAUAAAAACUCUUGGUAAACUAGGGCUACUGAUUUGAUAAAAGACAUUUACAAAAACCCCUACAAUUGUAAUCCUAUAUAAUGGUGAAAAUUGAAUACUUGCCCCACAGACCAGGAAGAAGGCUAAUUACAUAUAUGAUAAAGAACUUGCAUCCAUAAUACGUAAAGAAUUCUUAAAACUCAAUAAUAAGAGAGCCAAAGAUUUAACACUUCUCAAAAGAAGAUAUACCGGGCUGGGGAUAUGGCUCAAGCGGUAGCGUGCUCGCCUGGCAUGCUAGGGGCACUGGGUUCGAUCCUCAGCACCAAAUAAAAAUAAAAUAAAGAUGUUGUGUCCACCGAAAACUAAAAA